AUACUAGCCAAACGGUAAAGGCGAAGGACUUAAGUUCCUUUAUUUCCGGGUUCGAUUCCUGGGUAU
This 66-nucleotide transfer RNA is filed under the name Rivularia sp. PCC 7116. It matches the Rfam family "tRNA". Rfam says of the family: Transfer RNA (tRNA) molecules are approximately 80 nucleotides in length. Their secondary structure includes four short double-helical elements and three loops (D, anti-codon, and T loops). Lineage: Bacteria; Bacillati; Cyanobacteriota; Cyanophyceae; Nostocales; Rivulariaceae. The record is from Rfam by way of RNAcentral.